UAAAAGUUUAAUGGCUUAAUCUUGCUUUACUGUUUGACUUACACGUCUAUCAGUUGCGUAAGCAGGGCAUAUGAUCACAAGAUGCAUAAAGGAAAGGUCUUGGAUUUUUGAAAAAGCUACGCUAGGGAUAACAGGCUAAUUGCGCCAGAGAGUACAAAUUGAGUGCGCAGUUUGGCACCUCGAUGUCGGCUUAGCUCAUCCACAUGAAUGCAGAAAUCAUGAAGGGUACGACUGUUCGUCGAUUAAAGAGCUACACGAGCUGGGUUAAAUACGUCGUGAGACAGUAUGGUUUCUAUCUUCUAGAGGAAAUUAGAGUAAAAUAAGGAUAGCCCCUUCGUACGAAAGGAGUUGGGUAUGGUAACCUCUGGUUUACCUGUUGUUU
RNAcentral lists this ribosomal RNA (382 nucleotides) under Pseudopedinella elastica. RNAcentral describes it as "partial Bacterial large subunit ribosomal RNA". It matches the Rfam family "Bacterial large subunit ribosomal RNA", at positions 2344 to 2726 of the family's 2925-position model. The record is from RNAcentral. Lineage: Eukaryota; Dictyochophyceae; Pedinellales.